RNAcentral lists this ribosomal RNA (433 nucleotides) under uncultured bacterium. RNAcentral describes it as "partial 16S ribosomal RNA". It matches the Rfam family "Bacterial small subunit ribosomal RNA", at positions 29 to 507 of the family's 1533-position model. The record is from RNAcentral.
AACGAACGCUGGCGGCAUGCCUAACACAUGCAAGUCGAACGAGACCUUCGGGUCUAGUGGCGCACGGGUGCGUAACGCGUGGGAACCUGCCUUUAGGUUCGGAAUAACUCAGAGAAAUUUGAGCUAAUACCGGAUGAUGUCUUCGGACCAAAGAUUUAUCGCCUUUAGAUGGGCCCGCGUUGGAUUAGCUAGUUGGUGGGGUAAAGGCCUACCAAGGCGACGAUCCAUAGCUGGUCUGAGAGGAUGAUCAGCCACACUGGGACUGAGACACGGCCCAGACUCCUACGGGAAGCAGCAGUGGGGAAUAUUGGACAAUGGGCGAAAGCCUGAUCCAGCAAUGCCGCGCGAGUGAUGAAGGCCUUAGGGUUGUAAAGCUCUUUUACCCGAGAUGAUAAUGACAGUAUCGGGAGAAUAAGCUCCGGCUAACUCCGUG